This 466-nucleotide ribosomal RNA is filed under the name uncultured bacterium. RNAcentral describes it as "partial 16S ribosomal RNA". It matches the Rfam family "Bacterial small subunit ribosomal RNA", at positions 29 to 506 of the family's 1533-position model. The record is from RNAcentral.
ACGAACGCUGGCGGCGUGCUUAACCCCUGCCCGUCGAACGGAAAGGCCCUGCUUUUGUGGGGUGCUCGAGUGGCGAACGGGUGAGUAACACGUGAGUAACCUGCCCUUGACUUUGGGAUAACUUCAGGAAACUGGGGCUAAUACCGGAUAGGAGCUUCUGCUGCAUGGUGGGGGUUGGAAAGUUUCGGCGGUUGGGGAUGGACUCGCGGCUUAUCAGCUUGUUGGUGGGGUAGUGGCUUACCAAGGCUUUGACGGGUAGCCGGCCUGAGAGGGUGACCGGCCAAAUUGGGACUGGAGAGCGGCCACAACCCCGUCGGGGGGGAGGAGGGGGGAAAUUUGCGAAAGGGGGGGAAGCCUGGUGACGGAACCCCGGCGGGGGGAAAGGGGCCUUUGGGUUUGAAACGGUUUUGCCUUGGGGGGAAGGGGAGGGAGGGGAAAUGGGGAAAAAAGCACCGGCAAACUACGG